UACAGAGGGGGCCAGCGUUAUUCGGAAUUAUUGGGCGUAAAGCGCGCGUAGGCGGCUACUUAAGUCGGAUGUGAAAGCCCUUGGCUCAACUGAGGAAGUGCACCCGAAACUGAGUGGCUAGAGUACGAAAGAGGGUCGCGGAAUUCCCGGUGUAGAGGUGAAAUUCGUAGAUAUCGGGAGGAACACCGGUGGCGAAGGCGGCGACCUGGGUCGAUACUGACGCUGAUGCGCGAAAGCGUGGGGAGCAAACAGG
Molecule: ribosomal RNA, 253 nt
Filed under: uncultured bacterium
Lineage: Bacteria
Description: partial 16S ribosomal RNA
Rfam family: Bacterial small subunit ribosomal RNA
Source: RNAcentral